GGUUAAGCGACUAAGCGUACACGGUGGAUGCCCUGGCAGUCAGAGGCGAUGAAGGACGUGCUAAUCUGCGAAAAGCGUCGGUAAGGUGAUAUGAACCGUUAUAACCGGCGAUGUCCGAAUGGGGAAACCCAGUGCAAUUCGUUGCACUAUCGUUAACUGAAUACAUAGGUUAACGAGGCGAACCGGGGGAACUGAAACAUCUAAGUACCCCGAGGAAAAGAAAUCAACCGAGAUUCCCCCAGUAGCGGCGAGCGAACGGGGAGCAGCCCAGAGUCUGAAUCAGCUUGUGUGUUAGUGGAACGGUCUGGAAAGUCCGACGGUACAGGGUGAUAGUCCCGUACACCAAAAUGCACAGGCUGUGAACUCGAAGAGUAGGGCGGGACACGUGGUAUCCUGUCUGAAUAUGGGGGGACCAUCCUCCAAGGCUAAAUACUCCUGACUGACCGAUAGUGAACCAGUACCGUGAGGGAAAGGCGAAAAGAACCCCGGCGAGGGGAGUGAAAAAGAACCUGAAACCGUGUACGUACAAGCAGUGGGAGCACCUUCGGGUGUGACUGCGUACCUUUUGUAUAAUGGGUCAGCGACUUAUAUUCUGUAGCAAGGUUAACCGUAUAGGGGAGCCGCAGGGAAACCGAGUCUUAACUGGGCGUUAAGUUGCAGGGUAUAGACCCGAAACCCGGUGAUCUAGCCAUGGGCAGGUUGAAGGUUGGGUAACACUAACUGGAGGACCGAACCGACUAAUGUUGAAAAAUUAGCGGAUGACUUGUGGCUGGGGGUGAAAGGCCAAUCAAACCGGGAGAUAGCUGGUUCUCCCCGAAAGCUAUUUAGGUAGCGCCUCGUGAACUCAUCUUCGGGGGUAGAGCACUGUUUCGGCUAGGGGGUCAUCCCGACUUACCAACCCGAUGCAAACUACGAAUACCGAAGAAUGUUAUCACGGGAGACACACGGCGGGUGCUAACGUCCGUCGUGAAGAGGGAAACAACCCAGACCGCCAGCUAAGGUCCCAAAGUCAUGGUUAAGUGGGAAACGAUGUGGGAAGGCACAGACAGCCAGGAUGUUGGCUUAGAAGCAGCCAUCAUUUAAAGAAAGCGUAAUAGCUCACUGGUCGAGUCGGCCUGCGCGGAAGAUGUAACGGGGCUAAACCAUGCACCGAAGCUGCGGCAGCGACACUAUGUGUUGUUGGGUAGGGGAGCGUUCUGUAAGCCUGCGAAGGUGACCUGUGAGGGUUGCUGGAGGUAUCAGAAGUGCGAAUGCUGACAUAAGUAACGAUAAAGCGGGUGAAAAGCCCGCUCGCCGGAAGACCAAGGGUUCCUGUCCAACGUUAAUCGGGGCAGGGUGAGUCGACCCCUAAGGCGAGGCCGAAAGGCGUAGUCGAUGGGAAACAGGUUAAUAUUCCUGUACUUGGUGUUACUGCGAAGGGGGGACGGAGAAGGCUAUGUUAGCCGGGCGACGGUUGUCCCGGUUUAAGCAUGUAGGCUGGUUAUCCAGGCAAAUCCGGAUAAUCAAGGCUGAGGUGUGAUGACGAGGCACUACGGUGCUGAAGUAACAAAUGCCCUGCUUCCAGGAAAAGCCUCUAAGCAUCAGGUAACAUCAAAUCGUACCCCAAACCGACACAGGUGGUCAGGUAGAGAAUACCAAGGCGCUUGAGAGAACUCGGGUGAAGGAACUAGGCAAAAUGGUGCCGUAACUUCGGGAGAAGGCACGCUGGUGUGUAGGUGAAGUCCCUGCGGAUGGAGCUGAGACCAGUCGAAGAUACCAGCUGGCUGCAACUGUUUAUUAAAAACACAGCACUGUGCAAACACGAAAGUGGACGUAUACGGUGUGACGCCUGCCCGGUGCCGGAAGGUUAAUUGAUGGGGUUAUCCGUAAGGAGAAGCUCUUGAUCGAAGCCCCGGUAAACGGCGGCCGUAACUAUAACGGUCCUAAGGUAGCGAAAUUCCUUGUCGGGUAAGUUCCGACCUGCACGAAUGGCGUAAUGAUGGCCAGGCUGUCUCCACCCGAGACUCAGUGAAAUUGAACUCGCUGUGAAGAUGCAGUGUACCCGCGGCAAGACGGAAAGACCCCGUGAACCUUUACUAUAGCUUGACACUGAACAUUGAGCCUUGAUGUGUAGGAUAGGUGGGAGGCUUUGAAGCGUGGACGCCAGUCUGCGUGGAGCCAACCUUGAAAUACCACCCUUUAAUGUUUGAUGUUCUAACGUUGGCCCCUUAUCGGGGUUGCGGACAGUGUCUGGUGGGUAGUUUGACUGGGGCGGUCUCCUCCCAAAGCGUAACGGAGGAGCACGAAGGUUAGCUAAUCCUGGUCGGACAUCAGGAGGUUAGUGCAAUGGCAUAAGCUAGCUUGACUGCGAGCGUGACGGCGCGAGCAGGUGCGAAAGCAGGUCAUAGUGAUCCGGUGGUUCUGAAUGGAAGGGCCAUCGCUCAACGGAUAAAAGGUACUCCGGGGAUAACAGGCUGAUACCGCCCAAGAGUUCAUAUCGACGGCGGUGUUUGGCACCUCGAUGUCGGCUCAUCACAUCCUGGGGCUGAAGUAGGUCCCAAGGGUAUGGCUGUUCGCCAUUUAAAGUGGUACGCGAGCUGGGUUUAGAACGUCGUGAGACAGUUCGGUCCCUAUCUGCCGUGGGCGCUGGAGAAUUGAGGGGGGCUGCUCCUAGUACGAGAGGACCGGAGUGGACGCAUCACUGGUGUUCGGGUUGUCAUGCCAAUGGCACUGCCCGGUAGCUAAAUGCGGAAGAGAUAAGUGCUGAAAGCAUCUAAGCACGAAACUUGCCCCGAGAUGAGUUCUCCCUGAGACUAUAAGUCUCCUGAAGGAACGUUGAAGACGACGACGUUGAUAGGCCGGGUGUGUAAGCGCAGCGAUGCGUUGAGCUAACCGGUACUAAUGAACCGUGAGGCUUAACCUU
This 2902-nucleotide ribosomal RNA is filed under the name Klebsiella quasipneumoniae subsp. similipneumoniae. RNAcentral's name for it is "23S ribosomal RNA". It matches the Rfam family "Bacterial large subunit ribosomal RNA". The record is from RNAcentral. RNAcentral also lists the same sequence under 1 other name. Lineage: Bacteria; Pseudomonadati; Pseudomonadota; Gammaproteobacteria; Enterobacterales; Enterobacteriaceae.